GUAGUGAUGAAAAUCAUGCUAAUCAUGAAGAGGCGCGUCCGUCUCGGACCCCAUGUUGCAAACAUCUAUUUCUGAAC
Caenorhabditis elegans is the source of this 77-nucleotide small nucleolar RNA. The record is from Ensembl. NCBI's taxonomy places the organism in Eukaryota, Metazoa, Nematoda, Chromadorea, Rhabditida, Rhabditidae.